RNAcentral lists this transfer RNA (65 nucleotides) under Taenia crassiceps. Its description in RNAcentral is "tRNA-Leu". Lineage: Eukaryota; Metazoa; Platyhelminthes; Cestoda; Cyclophyllidea; Taeniidae. The record is from RNAcentral.
GUAGUUAUGUCAGAAUUUAUAUGAGUUAGUUUUAAGCAUUAAUUAUGGAUUAUAUCCUAACUACU